RNAcentral lists this ribosomal RNA (503 nucleotides) under uncultured bacterium. RNAcentral describes it as "bacterial SSU rRNA". The stretch from base 162 to 503 matches the Rfam family "Bacterial small subunit ribosomal RNA", at positions 1 to 328 of the family's 1533-position model. The record is from RNAcentral.
GCAGGUCGCCAGACCGCUGUCCGGUGAGGACAGGAGGCGGCGACCGGAUGUCAACAACCGCGGAGCCUAAACAGCUCUCGCGAUAGAAGACAUCCUGAGAGGGAACCCGUAAGAAAUAACAGAGAACCAAAGGGAUUCCUGAUGGUUCGAGCUGUCCAAGUUUAUUGGAGAGUUUGAUCCUGGCUCAGAGCGAACGUUAGCGGCAGGCCUAACACAUGCAAGUCGAGCGAGAAAGGGGUUUCGGCCCUGAGUAAAGCGGCGGACGGGUGCGUAACACGUGGAUAAUCUGGCCUUCGGUGGGGGAUAACAGUCCGAAAGGAUUGCUAAUACCGCAUGCGUCAUUCAGGGCUCCGGUCCUGGAUGGGAAAGGGGGCGCUCGCAAGAGGCUCCCGCCGGAGGAUGAGUCCGCGGCCCAUCAGCUAGUUGGUGAGGUAAUGGCUCACCAAGGCUUAGACGGGUAGCUGGUCUGAGAGGAUGAUCAGCCACACUGGGACUGAGACACG